CCAUUUUUGGGUAUCUAGUGGCUUCGUGAGAUUCGCCACUCAUAACUCAUAAGUCCUCCGCCUGUCUCGUCGGAGCCGACUCCGGAGGAAAGAGCCACGAGACUCAUCCCUUCUCCUCCUCGGGUAUGUACUAUCGUAGCAAGGCGGUGAUUUUCCUCUUGGACCGCCAGCUGAUAAAUGCAGCCGAUGGGCGGUGGAGGAUCCAUUGCAAGAAUUUGAGACUGAAACGCCAAAUAGGACUCAUUUAGGAUGAGUGUUCCUCGGCCGCCUCAAGUUCAUUUCAUAGGGCAGAGAGGCGGUUGAAGCAAGUGGUAACCAAGAGGUUCCCUUGCUUCAACUCCGUUAGCGCUUGGGUGAUGGUGAAAAGCUUUGCUCGGUCAAGGCGUCCGUACAUCUCCUCGAUGCUGUCCCAAAAUCGCUUCCCGUCUUCGGUUGGUGGAAGCCCAACUGCGGCGUCGGGGGCGAGACAAUUGCCAAUCCAGGUACGUAUUAACUGAUUGCAUCCUCAUCAGUGUCUCUAAUUGCGUUCAUCUGUCGGAAAGGGGACGGCUCCAUCAAGGAAGCCAUCCUUAUCUUUGGUGAUGAGCACCCGACAGAGAUCUCGAGCCUUGGUGGUAUAAUUGUUCGGUCCUGUGAGGUGGAGGUUGAUGAGGCGAAGUUCCGGUCCGACGGCUGGCGAGGUAUAGAGAGGAUCACCUGGUUUGGGGCGAUUGUUGCUGUUGACGGGGAAGGUGUACGGCAGGAAACCGAGCGGAUAGGCUGGGUAGGAAUUUGUCCCUUGACCCGGCAAAGAUCUGGGUUUGUGACUCGGAUUGGUUGUCUUGAAAUCAGUUGUCGGGUCACUCUCAUUCAACGACGGAGUUGGGUGGUUUACACUUGGCUGAUUUGCGAGCCCCAAAUAACUGGCUUCACCAGGUAGGUGCUGAACCCACGCUUGUCUGGGUCCAGUGCCCCAUUGGGUUUGGAUGGGAUACCACCGAACUGGAGGAAACAUGGUGGCCAUUGAAUGGGGCCGGAGAUCUGACCCGAAGCAGGAAGAAACAUGGUGGCCAUUGAAUGGGGCCGGAGAUCUGACCCGAAGCAGGAAGUUGCCCUUGAAUGGCUACUCGUUCCUCCUCGGGUAGGUUGGUAAUAUCUGACGGUAAUAAGUUAGGAUUAUGGGGAUUCUCCUUUAUUGAAGAACUCUCGAUGUUCUUAUCUUUUGUCAUGGUAAGAAUGAAUUCCUAAUUGCUUGGCUGA
Molecule: long non-coding RNA, 1239 nt
Organism: Eucalyptus grandis
Lineage: Eukaryota; Viridiplantae; Streptophyta; Magnoliopsida; Myrtales; Myrtaceae
Exons: 2
Source: RefSeq, a predicted model, not a curated record